This 1102-nucleotide long non-coding RNA is filed under the name Anser brachyrhynchus (Pink-footed goose). RNAcentral describes it as "lncRNA (ENSABRG00000007137.1)". The record is from RNAcentral. Lineage: Eukaryota; Metazoa; Chordata; Aves; Anseriformes; Anatidae.
CCCGCCGGGAGGAACGCCGGCCCCGCCGGUUUCCAUGGCAAUGGUGCGGGAACGGUGCCGGCUGCCUGCCGAUGAGGCGGCGGGGGCUGCGGCGGCGGGCCGGGGGGGGUCCCCCGCCUCGCCCGGCCCACGGGGUGCUGGCGGCAGGGUCCCGCCGGGCCCCGCGGCCCCCCCGGGCACGGCUCCCCCCCGGCGCAGGGGGUUGGGGGUCCCUCUGCGGGGAGCCCCGCGCGUUUCCCCGUCCCCUCCGGCCCUGGGAUCGCCUGGUGUCCCGCUGGUGCUGCCCCGCAGGGCCGAGCACCGUCGCGACCCGCUGCCGCAAACGCGAGCCUGGGCCCUGCCAGCCCGCGGAGGGGCUGCGGUGGGGAACUGCUGCUAUCACCAGACCUCCUGGGCAGCUCUAGGCUUCUCCUGCUCACCAGUGCCAGACCCGCGUGGCUCCAUGGUGCUCCCAGGACCUGCUGCCCUGGAGUAUCAGGGGCCAGGGCCAAGCCAGGCACCCAUUUUCUCCUCCCGCAGUCCUACGGAAGACCCCAGUCAGGCCCCUGAGGACAGCCCCAGUGAGACCAGGACACGUGGUGACACCAAUGGGAGCCCACUCCCAGCUGAGACCCUCGGCUUCUGCUUCCCACCUCCCUCGACCCAUCCCAGGGCCACCAGGGCUGGGGGUUUGCUCCGGCACGUCCUGGUGCAGAUCUGGGGAGGAGACGUGAACAUCUGUGAUGCCCAUGCUUGCAAGGACUUCCUGGGCACUGUUGCAUGGGAAAUGUGCAUUUGUAGGACACAGCAUCGUGCUGGGGGUGCGUUCGUCCCUGGGCAUGCACGAGCACAGUGUGGCAGGGGCCACCAGGCGCAGGAACCAGCUAAAAGCAGCCCCACAGGGAAGGGGAUGAGCUCAGCUGGGUGCAGGGCACGGUGCAGCCCCCCACAGAUGUGGUGGCUCGUGUUCUGCAGUGUGGAAAUCCCACAGCUUGCACCGAGGCUGGUGCAUGUGGGACUGGGGCAUUUGUGUGGGUCUGAAGACAGUGGGGGGAGCCUUCCACUGCCCUCAAGGCCCCGUUGGGCUGGGGGCUGCACAGCCUCCCCGCGGCCACAGCAUUGA